Molecule: ribosomal RNA, 440 nt
Filed under: uncultured bacterium
Lineage: Bacteria
Description: bacterial SSU rRNA
Rfam family: Bacterial small subunit ribosomal RNA
Source: RNAcentral
CCUACGGGGGGCAGCAGUGGGGAAUAUUGCACAAUGGGCGGAAGCCUGAUGCAGCGACGCCGCGUGGGGGAUGAAGGCCUUCGGGUUGUAAACCUCUUUCAGCAGGGACGAAGCGGGAGUGACGGUACCUGCAGAAGAAGCGCCGGCCAACUACGUGCCAGCAGCCGCGGUAAGACGUAGGGCGCGAGCGUUGUCCGGAUUUAUUGGGCGUAAAGGGUGCGUAGGUGGCGCGCUAAGUCGGGUGUGAAAUUUCGGAGCUUAACUCCGAAACUGCAUUCGAUACUGGCGUGCUCGAGGACUAGAGAGGAGACUGGAAUUCAUGGUGUAGCAGUGAAAUGCGUAGAGAUCAUGAGGAAGACCAGUGGCGAAGGCGGGUCUCUGGACAGUUCCUGACACUGAGGCGCGAAAGCGUGGGGAGCAAACAGGAUUAGAUACCCUGG